CCUACGGGAGGCUGCAGUGGGGAAUAUUGGACAAUGGGCGAAAGCCUGAUCCAGCCAUGCCGCGUGUGUGAAGAAGGCCUUCGGGUUGUAAAGCACUUUCAGUGGGGAAGAAAGCCUUGGGGCUAAUACCCUCGAGGAAGGACAUCACCCACAGAAGAAGCACCGGCUAACUCCGUGCCAGCAGCCGCGGUAAUACGGAGGGUGCGAGCGUUAAUCGGAAUUACUGGGCGUAAAGCGCGCGUAGGCGGUCUGAUAAGCCGGUUGUGAAAGCCCCGGGCUCAACCUGGGAACGGCAUCCGGAACUGUCAGGCUAGAGUGCAGGAGAGGAAGGUAGAAUUCCCGGUGUAGCGGUGAAAUGCGUAGAGAUCGGGAGGAAUACCAGUGGCGAAGGCGGCCUUCUGGACUGACACUGACGCUGAGGUGCGAAAGCGUGGGUAGCAAACAGGAUUAGAUCCCCUGGUAGUC
Molecule: ribosomal RNA, 465 nt
Filed under: Vreelandella stevensii
Lineage: Bacteria; Pseudomonadati; Pseudomonadota; Gammaproteobacteria; Oceanospirillales; Halomonadaceae
Description: partial 16S ribosomal RNA
Rfam family: Bacterial small subunit ribosomal RNA
Source: RNAcentral